AAUAGAUACCCUGGUAGUCCACGCCGUAAACGAUGAGUGCUAGGUGUCAGGGGGUUUCCACCCCUUGGUGCUGCAGUUAACGCAUUAAGCACUCCGCCUGGGGAGUACGGCCGCAAGGCUGAAACUCAAAAGAAUUGACGGGGGCCCGCACAAGCGGUGGAGCAUGUGGUUUAAUUCGAAGCAACGCGAAGAACCUUACCAGGUCUUGACAUCCUCUGACAACCCUAGAGAUAGGGCUUUCCCUUCGGGGACAGAGUGACAGGUGGUGCAUGGUUGUCGUCAGCUCGUGUCGUGAGAUGUUGGAUUAAGUCCCGUAACGAGCGGAACCCUCGACCUUAGUUGCCAGCAUUAAGUUGGGCACUCUAAGGUGACUGCCGGUGACAAAUCGGAGGAAGGUGGGGAGUGACGACCAAAUCAUCAUGCCCCUUAUGACCUGGGCUACACACGUGCUACAAUGGGUGGUACAGAGGGCAGCGAAACCGCGAGGUGGAGCAAAUCCCACAAAACCACUCUCAGUUCGGAUUGCAGGCUGCAACUCG
This 539-nucleotide ribosomal RNA is filed under the name uncultured bacterium. RNAcentral describes it as "bacterial SSU rRNA". It matches the Rfam family "Bacterial small subunit ribosomal RNA", at positions 777 to 1314 of the family's 1533-position model. The record is from RNAcentral.